UACGAAGGGUGCAAGCGUUACUCGGAAUUACUGGGCGUAAAGCGUGCGCAGGCGGUUCGUUGUGUCGGCGGUGAAAGCCCCGGGCUUAACCUGGGAAUGGCCGUCGAAACUGGCGAACUGGAGUGUGGCAGAGGGGGGUGGAAUUCCGCGUGUGAGCAGUGAAAUGCGUAGAGAUGCGGAGGAACACCGAUGGCGAAGGCAGCCCCUGGGCUGACACUGACGCUCAGGCACGAAAGCGUGGGGAGCAAACAGG
This 253-nucleotide ribosomal RNA is filed under the name uncultured bacterium. RNAcentral's name for it is "partial 16S ribosomal RNA". It matches the Rfam family "Bacterial small subunit ribosomal RNA", at positions 524 to 776 of the family's 1533-position model. The record is from RNAcentral.